UACGGGGGGAGCAAGCGUUGUUCGGAUUUACUGGGCGUAAAGGGCGCGUAGGCGGCCACCGCAAGUCGAUUGUGAAAUCUCCGGGCUUAACCCGGAAAGGUCAACCGAUACUGCGGGGCUAGAGUGCAGAAGGGGCAACUGGAAUUCUCGGUGUAGCGGUGAAAUGCGUAGAUAUCGAGAGGAACACCUGCGGCGAAGGCGGGUUGCUGGGCUGAUACUGACGCUGAUGCGCGAAAGCCAGGGGAGCGAACGGG
RNAcentral lists this ribosomal RNA (254 nucleotides) under uncultured bacterium. Its description in RNAcentral is "partial 16S ribosomal RNA". It matches the Rfam family "Bacterial small subunit ribosomal RNA", at positions 524 to 776 of the family's 1533-position model. The record is from RNAcentral.